This 433-nucleotide ribosomal RNA is filed under the name uncultured bacterium. RNAcentral's name for it is "partial 16S ribosomal RNA". It matches the Rfam family "Bacterial small subunit ribosomal RNA", at positions 29 to 507 of the family's 1533-position model. The record is from RNAcentral.
AACGAACGCUGGCGGCAUGCCUAACACAUGCAAGUCGAACGAGACCUUCGGGUCUAGUGGCGCACGGGUGCGUAACGCGUCGGAACCUGCCCUUAGGAUCGGAAUAACCCCCCGAAAGGGGUGCUAAUACCGGAUAAUGUCCUCGAACCAAAGAUUUAUCGCAUUUGGAUGCGCUCGUGUUCGAUUAGCUAGCUGUUAGGGUAAAAGCCUACCACGGCGACGAUCCAUAGCUGCACUGAGAGUAAGAUCAGCCACUCUGAGUCUGAGACACAGCCCAGACUUCUACGGGAGACAGCGGUGGGUAAUAUUGCACAACGGGCGAAAGCCUGAUCCAGCAAUGCCGCGUGAGUGAUGUGGGCCUUAGAGGUGUAAAGCUCAAGUAUACGGGAUGAUAAUGGCAGUACCGAGAGGAUAAGGCCCGGCUAACUCCGUG